Non-coding RNA from Camellia sinensis, 2794 nucleotides. The record is from RefSeq and is a predicted model, not a curated record. Lineage: Eukaryota; Viridiplantae; Streptophyta; Magnoliopsida; Ericales; Theaceae.
GAAGUGAGAUUAUUGGUUAGUCUUAGGGAGUGGCAAUGCCACUAUAGUUGUUGCUGCCUAAUGGCCAUGUCUGCAACUAUAACAUUAUUUUCUACUAAUAUGGAAGAGAUAAGCACUGCAUGACAUAGUCCAUUUGUUUUGUUAUGGCAUAGAAGAUGGGAAAAAACUAAAACAGAACAAACACAUAAGUAUACACGGAUUUACGUGGUUUGACAAUAAUCAUACAUCCAUGGGGAAAGAAUGACGAAACAAUUUCACUAUGAAUAUAGAGAUUACAAAAAGCUGGCUCUCUCUCUCUUUCUCUCUUAAACCUUAGUUGACAAGAUCAUAAUUCAUCCUAAAAAUCCAAAUUAACCCAAUAUAUACUAGAAUUUGAAUGUAGCAAACUGGGUCAAAAUAGACCCAAAAACACAAAUUCCGGGUCAGACCUUUCAUAUUAAUCAGGUCGAGCGUGCCACAAAUGGAUAGUAAACAUCAUCUGGAUUGAAUUCAAGAUGCACCCACAGCAUGUCUUUUAUGAAAUAUGAUAUAGGAACAGAACUUUUGUAGAGAAUGAUGUGAUUUCUUCUACUCUCUUCAUUUUCAAUCAAAACAUCCAUCAUUGGCCCCAUAAUUUCAAAAAUGUCAUUUACAUAUCAUUUUGGAUGUGAUUAAUGCUAUAAAUUUUAUGUUUGCAAAUUAUUUUCUGUCAUUUAUUUAUUAUUUUUCUGCUAAUCAAGCAGAAGUUACAUUGGCAUGCAAUGUCAAUUUUCAAGGACAUGAAUUUGAUAGCCAAUAUCUUAAUUCCUUGGUGCACUGUGAGAUAAUAUGCAAACCAGGCACCGGUGCAUAUAAUGCAAGAGGUUUCACAAAUCUGGGUUGUUCUGCAACCAGAAAUUGUUUAGGUUUCAAAUUUAUCAUCUAUUUAGUGAACAUAUGACACCACUAAUACGUAACUUUAACAAGUAUCUAAAACAUAUAUGGGUUGACAAGGAGACAAUUACCUCUAGCUUUUUGAAGGAAAUAGAUAAAUUUAACACAAUUGAAGCACGUGCCAAAAUCAUUCAAAAAAUUGACAAGAAUAUCCAAUAUUCAAUGAGCAAGUGUGAAUUUUGAAGUGAAGUCAACUUCCAAAGGUGAAGGCACCUUAGAGGUUUUAUAAAUUUUUUAACAAGUGGAAAUACAGAAGCCAUACAAUGAAUCGAUAUUUGAACAAGCACUUUGCAUAUUAUAAGGAACAUUAUGCUUUAUAGUAUAGUUUAUAUUUAAAAAGAUUAACCAGGGGGGAUGAACCAAUUCAAGAUGACUGCUAGAAUGAUUUACUUUUUAAAUUGAUCAACAUUAGUGAUUAGUAUAAUAUGUAAGUGUGAUAUUAGUAUAAGAAAAUGUUGGAGUGAGAAAAGAGUUCAACUUCUAGCAAUCCAAUCUUCAUUACAGCAGCCUUUUAAACUUAAUUGAUUUCAAAGUGACAAAAUCAAUCAUCUGAAAAAUUGAAUAAAUAGAGAAAAGCCAGCUAUCGAAAUUGAACAUCUCUUUCUUUUGUCGAAAUAAUAACGAUAUAAUGUUAUAAAAUAAUCUGGCAAGAUGAUAAAUGAUAUUUGGAUCAAUGAAAUAUAUGAAUAGGAAGUUUACAGUCAUAAAUAAAGAUAUGGCAAAUAAAUUAAUUAGACUAUUGUCUUAAAGAAAAUAAAAUAACAAGGAAAGUAGACAUAAAAACAUGGAGAAGAAUCUUCAAAUUAAAAACUAUAUAUUUAUUCUAGGUGCACUAGACUCUCACCACUACGAAGUUUGAUAAGAGUUAGAUAUUCGUAGUCUUACCCUAGCAUGUAGAGAUGUUUUUGUGGUUUUAACACCUAAUGCCCAGGCAUUCUAGAUCUGCUCCAAGAUUUCUUCAAGGCAAGCAAUUUAAUGUAGAGUAUUUUAUGAAUAUUCUAUCAAGAGGUACCUAGGGUUUCCAUGGACAAUUUACUAAACAAAGAUAGGAAACCAAUUAUCAGGAUACAUAAACAUGGACCAUUUAUGCUAUUGUUUUUCGUAGGUUCGAGCUAAACACAAGGAAGUUUGUCUUCAAAAAGAUAGUCCCCUGGGAGAAACAAUCCUUGUAUGUUACAAUUGUGGUUGUCGAAAUGCUUUCCUUCUUGGAUGCAUCUCUGCCAAGACAGAGAGUGUUGUCGUUCUUUUGUGCAGAGAGCCUUGUCUCAGUGUCAAUGCAUUGAAGGAUAUGAAUUGGGACCUGAGUCAGUGGUGUUCCCUUAUAUAUACCUUUUUCCCAAAGUUGCUAAACUUGUACACUUUGUUAAAGCUAAAAGUACACUUUAUGUUGUAGGCAGAUAAUGAGUUGCGUCUUGUACCUGGUGAUGAGUUGCGGCUACGCUAUUUAGGAGAUGCAACUCAUGCGGCAGUCAGUAGGGCAUGUGCCUCAGCUGCGAAGAACAAGGGGAUGGAUAAUUACAAACAGGGGAAGUAUGCUGAUGCCAUAAAGUGGCUUUCUUGGGCUGUGAUUCUUCUUGAGAAGACUUGUGAUGGUGCUAACCCUUGAACAAAUCAACUUGGCUGAUGUCAAGUACCCACUGGAGCAUUUUAAGAACAUCCUUGUUGUCUCAAAGUAUUACUGAAGGAUUAUCUUGGCGAGACUUGCUGAGCUGCUUUGUCUCAUUGUUUAGGUGACUUCCAAAAACGAUCAAGCACAAGGCUGAUGCUUCAAAACCAUAUAUAUUCCUUCCUGUUUUAGAAUUUUUUUUGGAUUCCUUCAUUGAUUUUGCUUUUAAUUUUUGUUCAAUUACUUACUGGUUUUCAAUGGAUAGAUGUUUAAAAC